This 688-nucleotide ribosomal RNA is filed under the name Megaphragma hansoni. RNAcentral describes it as "partial large subunit ribosomal RNA". The stretch from base 352 to 688 matches the Rfam family "Eukaryotic large subunit ribosomal RNA", at positions 1 to 861 of the family's 3401-position model. Lineage: Eukaryota; Metazoa; Arthropoda; Insecta; Hymenoptera; Trichogrammatidae. The record is from RNAcentral.
GGCUCGCGAUGCCCUCGGGGGCCCUUUACCGGGUCUUUACCGAGGGCACGCGGUCGCUGCGUCAUGUCCGGCGCGGUCGGCGUGCACUUCUCCCCUAGUAGGACGUCGCGACCCGUUGGGUGUCGACCUACGGCCCGCGAGGUAGACUGGGGCGCCGCGCGUUAAUAGCGCGCGCGCGUCUCAGACCCGCGUGCGCCCGGCUCGACUGCCCGGCGGUAAAGAUCGCUUAUAAUCGAUAAUGGUAUGGGGUCGCACGCUCAUGUUAAAUUUGCGAUGCGUUUUUCGGCCCGUCGUUGAGGCUGGCCUCGCUCGGCGUUUACGGACCUGGUGCCGUUGCCGGGCGUUUAUGGUUGGCUCUCGUUCGACGGUGUCCUCGAACGGGCCCUGCUUUAAAACAUACCCGUCGGCGACGCUACUGCUUUGGGUACUUUCAGGACCCGUCUUGAAACACGGACCAAGGAGUCUAACAUGUGCGCGAGUCAUUGGGACUUGAAACAAAGCCUAAAGGCGCAAUGAAAGUGAAGGUCCGCUUUGAUGCGCGACCGAGGGAGGAUGGCUCCCGCCACGACGCGGAGCCCGCACUCCCGGGGCGUCUCGCGCUCAUCGCGAGCUGAGGCGCACCCAGAGCGUACACGUUGGGACCCGAAAGAUGGUGAACUAUGCCUGGUCAGGACGAAGUCAGGGGAAA